GAUGAACGCUGGCGGCGUGCCUAAUACAUGCAAGUCGAACGCUGGAAAUCUAGCUUGCUAGAUUGAAGGAGUGGCGAACGGGUGAGUAAUACAUAAGCAACCUACCCACGAAGACUGGGAUAAUCUCUGGAAACGGGGACUAAUACCGGAUAGGUAAUCGGAAGGCAUCUUCUGAUUAUUAAAUGUUAAAAACACUGGUGGAUGGGCUUAUGGCGCAUUAGUUAGUUGGUGAGGUAACGGCCCACCAAGACGAUGAUGCGUAGCCGGCCUGAGAGGGUGAACGGCCACAUUGGGACUGAGACACGGCCCAGACUCCUACGGGAGGCAGCAGUAGGGAAUUUUCGGCAAGGGGGGAAACCCUGACCGAGCAACGCCGCGUGAGUGAUGACGGCCUUCGGGUUGUAAAGCUCUGUUGUAAGGGAAGAAUGGUAGAUAGAGAAUAUCUAAAUGACGGUACCUUAACAGAAAGCCACGGCUAACUACGUG
This 486-nucleotide ribosomal RNA is filed under the name uncultured bacterium. RNAcentral's name for it is "partial 16S ribosomal RNA". It matches the Rfam family "Bacterial small subunit ribosomal RNA", at positions 28 to 507 of the family's 1533-position model. The record is from RNAcentral.